AGGGAAUCUUCCACAAUGGACGCAAGUCUGAUGGAGCAACGCCGCGUGAGUGAAGAAGGUUUUCGGACCGUAAAGCUCUGUUGUUGGUGAAGAAGGAUAGAGGUAGUAACUGGCCUUUAUUUGACGGUAAUCAACCAGAAAGUCACGGCUAACUACGUGCCAGCAGCCGCGGUAAUACGUAGGUGGCAAGCGUUGUCCGGAUUUAUUGGGCGUAAAGCGAGCGCAGGCGGAAGAAUAAGUCUGAUGUGAAAGCCCUCGGCUUAACCGAGGAAUUGCAUCGGAAACUGUUUUCUUGAGUGCAGAAGAGGAGAGUAGAACUCCAUGUGUAGCGGUGGAAUGCGUAGAUAUAUGGAAGAGUACCAGUGGCGAAGGCGGCUCUCUGGUCUGCAACUGACGCUGAGGCUCGAAAGCAUGGGUAGCGAACAGGAUUAGAUACCCUGGUAGUCCAUGCCGUAAACGAUGAGUGCUAAGUGUUGGGAGGCUUCCGCCUCUCAGUGCUGCAGCUAACGCAUUAAGCACUCCGCCUGGGGGAGUACGACCGCAAGGUUGAAAC
This 553-nucleotide ribosomal RNA is filed under the name uncultured bacterium. RNAcentral describes it as "partial 16S ribosomal RNA". It matches the Rfam family "Bacterial small subunit ribosomal RNA", at positions 356 to 900 of the family's 1533-position model. The record is from RNAcentral.